CUGGAAUUGUGGGAGAGUAUUUUUGUAACAGCUGUUCAGCAGCCUCAAACCUCCCCUGUUGGUGGUGGGGGAGAGUGCUCCCUAUUAAAGCCAAGCAAGAAGGGCAACAGCAAGCGGCAUGGGGAGCUUGUUAUGUGCGAAGGUCAAAGUAGCCUAUGAGCAGACCAAACUCCCCUCCAAUCCUGGCCAAAUGUGGUAAGUCCUGAGGACCCAAUGUUCAACUUGUCCCCGAGAGAAUUAGUGUGAGGUCAUUUUAAACAAGACUGGAGUCCUAAAGAAGACCUGACUUGAUGGUAUAAGGGGAAUCAGGAGUAAGCGCUACAGGAGAUGGGGUAGAGCUAAACGCGGGAACCAGGAGGGCAAGUGCAGAAACUGAUAACGCUUACUUACAUCAAGAGAAGGGCAGGUGAUGUCUGUAACAGGUCUGAACUUUCUCCAGGAGAGACAGAGUCAUCUUUAACCCUCUGCUAGAACGUCUAGUCCAGAGAAAGCAAAGCCAGCUUACAACGGUAUCAGUCAUGAAAGAACUUUCCUUACUUCUUUCUGCAACCCCAGUGGGGUCUCUGAUGGCAGCUGGACAGUGGAGGAGGAACCACAAGAGGAGCAGAGAAGGAGCCAGUGGACAGGGUUGCUUUCUUCAAGGAAUCCUGAUGGAGAGCUGGACUUCAAAUGUCUUCUUCCUUGGGAAUACCAUGAAUAGGGAGCAACAGCAAAACAAAAGAUACUGUGGGCUGUCUGAAGAUUCUGAUGAUUUUUCUCUGCCUUCUCAUUAACAAACAGUACUGCAGCAACUCAGUUACCUCUGAAAAUCUGGAGGAAAUUUCCCCUAAUUCAUCAGCUAUCUCUUGGUUCUUUGCUUUUGGGAAAGGAAGGGUGUAGAGCCUUAUCACUUGACGUUCUGAUACAGCAGAGACAUCACCUGGAUGUUUGCUAGAAAUGGAGGAUCUCGUGGUCCCGCGGACCUGUGGAAUCUAAACCUGCAUUUUAAAAAGGUUCAAAGGAGGGCGCCUGGAUGGCUCAGUCGGUUAAGCUUCUGACUUCAGCUUAGGUCAUGAUCUCGUGUUUUGUGAGUUUGAGCCCCACGUCAGGCUCUCUGCACAGAGCCUGGAGCCUGCUUCAGAUCCUCUGUCUCCCCCUCCUAUGCUCAUGCUCUGUCUCUCAAUAGUAAACAAACAUCAGAAA
This 1182-nucleotide long non-coding RNA is filed under the name Felis catus (domestic cat). RNAcentral's name for it is "lncRNA (ENSFCAG00000042969.2)". Lineage: Eukaryota; Metazoa; Chordata; Mammalia; Carnivora; Felidae. The record is from RNAcentral.